This 1489-nucleotide ribosomal RNA is filed under the name Lactiplantibacillus plantarum. RNAcentral's name for it is "bacterial SSU rRNA". It matches the Rfam family "Bacterial small subunit ribosomal RNA". Lineage: Bacteria; Bacillati; Bacillota; Bacilli; Lactobacillales; Lactobacillaceae. The record is from RNAcentral.
GACGAACGCUGGCGGCGUGCCUAAUACAUGCAAGUCGAACGAACUCUGGUAUUGAUUGGUGCUUGCAUCAUGAUUUACAUUUGAGUGAGUGGCGAACUGGUGAGUAACACGUGGGAAACCUGCCCAGAAGCGGGGGAUAACACCUGGAAACAGAUGCUAAUACCGCAUAACAACUUGGACCGCAUGGUCCGAGCUUGAAAGAUGGCUUCGGCUAUCACUUUUGGAUGGUCCCGCGGCGUAUUAGCUAGAUGGUGGGGUAACGGCUCACCAUGGCAAUGAUACGUAGCCGACCUGAGAGGGUAAUCGGCCACAUUGGGACUGAGACACGGCCCAAACUCCUACGGGAGGCAGCAGUAGGGAAUCUUCCACAAUGGACGAAAGUCUGAUGGAGCAACGCCGCGUGAGUGAAGAAGGGUUUCGGCUCGUAAAACUCUGUUGUUAAAGAAGAACAUAUCUGAGAGUAACUGUUCAGGUAUUGACGGUAUUUAACCAGAAAGCCACGGCUAACUACGUGCCAGCAGCCGCGGUAAUACGUAGGUGGCAAGCGUUGUCCGGAUUUAUUGGGCGUAAAGCGAGCGCAGGCGGUUUUUUAAGUCUGAUGUGAAAGCCUUCGGCUCAACCGAAGAAGUGCAUCGGAAACUGGGAAACUUGAGUGCAGAAGAGGACAGUGGAACUCCAUGUGUAGCGGUGAAAUGCGUAGAUAUAUGGAAGAACACCAGUGGCGAAGGCGGCUGUCUGGUCUGUAACUGACGCUGAGGCUCGAAAGUAUGGGUAGCAAACAGGAUUAGAUACCCUGGUAGUCCAUACCGUAAACGAUGAAUGCUAAGUGUUGGAGGGUUUCCGCCCUUCAGUGCUGCAGCUAACGCAUUAAGCAUUCCGCCUGGGGAGUACGGCCGCAAGGCUGAAACUCAAAGGGAUUGACGGGGGCCCGCACAAGCGGUGGAGCAUGUGGUUUAAUUCGAAGCUACGCGAAGAACCUUACCAGGUCUUGACAUACUAUGCAAAUCUAAGAGAUUAGACGUUCCCUUCGGGGACAUGGAUACAGGUGGUGCAUGGUUGUCGUCAGCUCGUGUCGUGUGAUGUUGGGUUAAGUCCCGCAACGAGCGCAACCCUUAUUAUCAGUUGCCAGCAUUAAGUUGGGCACUCUGGUGAGACUGCCGGUGACAAACCGGAGGAAGGUGGGGAUGACGUCAAAUCAUCAUGCCCCUUAUGACCUGGGCUACACACGUGCUACAAUGGAUGGUACAACGAGUUGCGAACUCGCGAGAGUAAGCUAAUCUCUUAAAGCCAUUCUCAGUUCGGAUUGUAGGCUGCAACUCGCCUACAUGAAGUCGGAAUCGCUAGUAAUCGCGGAUCAGCAUGCCGCGGUGAAUACGUCCCCGGGCCUUGUACACACCGCCCGUCACACCAUGAGAGUUUGUAACACCCAAAGUCGGUGGGGUAACCUUUUAGGAACCAGCCGCCUAAGGUGGGACAGAUGAUUAGGGUG